Molecule: ribosomal RNA, 550 nt
Filed under: uncultured bacterium
Lineage: Bacteria
Description: bacterial SSU rRNA
Rfam family: Bacterial small subunit ribosomal RNA
Source: RNAcentral
UGGGGAAUAUUGGACAAUGGGGGCAACCCUGAUCCAGCCAUGCCGCGUGUGUGAAGAAGGCCUUUUGGUUGUAAAGCACUUUAAGCAGGGAGGAGAGGCUAAUGGUUAAUACCCAUUAGAUUAGACGUUACCUGCAGAAUAAGCACCGGCUAACUCUGUGCCAGCAGCCGCGGUAAUACAGAGGGUGCGAGCGUUAAUCGGAAUUACUGGGCGUAAAGCGAGUGUAGGUGGCUCAUUAAGUCACAUGUGAAAUCCCCGGGCUUAACCUGGGAACUGCAUGUGAUACUGGUGGUGCUAGAAUAUGUGAGAGGGAAGUAGAAUUCCAGGUGUAGCGGUGAAAUGCGUAGAGAUCUGGAGGAAUACCGAUGGCGAAGGCAGCUUCCUGGCAUAAUAUUGACACUGAGAUUCGAAAGCGUGGGUAGCAAACAGGAUUAGAUACCCUGGUAGUCCACGCCGUAAACGAUGUCUACUAGCCGUUGGGGUCCUUGAGACUUUAGUGGCGCAGUUAACGCGAUAAGUAGACCGCCUGGGGAGUACGGCCGCAAGGUUA